UUAGAGUUUGAUCAUGGCUCAGAACGUACGCUGGCGGCACGCCUAACACAUGCAAGUCGAACGAAGUAGCAAUACUUAGUGGCAGACGGGUGAGUAACAUGUAGGUAUCUACCCUUUGGCCUGGAAUAACACGAGGAAACUUGUGCUAAUACCGGAUAAGUCUUUACGGAGAAAGCUUUAUGCACCAUUGGAUGAGCCUGCACUUGAUUAGUUUGUUGGUGGGGUAAUGGCCUACCAAGACUUUGAUCAAUAGCUGAUUUGGGAGGAUGAUCAGCCACAUUGGGACUGAGACACGGCCCAAACUCCUACGGGAGGCAGCAGUGGGGAAUCUUGCACAAUGGAGGAAACUCUGAUGCAGCGAUGCCGCGUGAGUGAAGAAGGCCUUUGGGUUGUAAAGCUCUUUCGUCGGGGAAGAAAAUGACUGUACCCGAAUAAGAAGGUCCGGCUAACUUCGUGCCAGCAGCCGCGGUAAUACGAAGGGACCUAGCGUAGUUCGGAAUUACUGGGCUUAAAGAGUUCGUAGGUGGUUGAAAAAGUUGGUGGUGAAAUCCCAGAGCUUAACUCUGGAACUGCCAUCAAAACUUUUCAGCUAGAGUUUGAUAGAGGAAAGCAGAAUUUCUAGUGUAGAGGUGAAAUUCGUAGAUAUUAGAAAGAAUACCAAUUGCGAAGGCAGCUUUCUGGAUCAUUACUGACACUGAGGAACGAAAGCAUGGGUAGCGAAGAGGAUUAGAUACCCUCGUAGUCCAUGCCGUAAACGAUGUGUGUUAGACGUUGGAAAUUUAUUUUCAGUGUCGCAGCGAAAGCGAUAAACACACCGCCUGGGGAGUACGACCGCAAGGUUAAAACUCAAAUGAAUUGACGGGGACCCGCACAAGUAGUGGAGCAUGUGGUUUAAUUCGAAGAUACGCGCAGAACCUUACCAACACUUGACAUGUUCGUCGCGACUUUAAGAGAUUAAAGUUUUCGGUUCGGCCGGACGAAACACAGGUGCUGCAUGGCUGUCGUCAGCUCGUGUCGUGAGAUGUUGGGUUAAGUCCCGCAACGAGCGCAACCCUCACUUUUAGUUGCCAUCAUUUAGUUGGGCACUCUGAAAGAACUGCCAGUGAUAAGCUGGAGGAAGGUGGGGAUGACGUCAAGUCCUCAUGGCCCUUACGUGUUGGGCUACACACGUGCUACAAUGGUAUUUACAACAGGAAGCAAGACGGCGACGUUAAGCAAAUCCUUACAAAAUACCUCAGUUCGGAUUGCACUCUGCAACUCGAGUGCAUGAAGCUGGAAUUACUAGUAAUCGUGGAUCAGCGUGCCACGGUGAAUGCGUUCCC
This 1322-nucleotide ribosomal RNA is filed under the name unidentified marine bacterioplankton. RNAcentral's name for it is "bacterial SSU rRNA". It matches the Rfam family "Bacterial small subunit ribosomal RNA", at positions 1 to 1375 of the family's 1533-position model. The record is from RNAcentral.